This 754-nucleotide ribosomal RNA is filed under the name Galerina marginata. RNAcentral describes it as "eukaryotic LSU rRNA". It matches the Rfam family "Eukaryotic large subunit ribosomal RNA", at positions 78 to 817 of the family's 3401-position model. The record is from RNAcentral. Lineage: Eukaryota; Fungi; Basidiomycota; Agaricomycetes; Agaricales; Galerinaceae.
CCCUAGUAACUGCGAGUGAAGCGGGAAAAGCUCAAAUUUAAAAUCUGGUGGUCUUUGAUCAUCCGAGUUGUAAUCUAGAGAAGUGUUAUCCGCGCUGGACCGUGUACAAGUCUCCUGGAAUGGAGCGUCAUAGAGGGUGAGAAUCCCGUCUUUGACACGGACUGCCAGGGCUUUGUGAUGCGCUCUCAAAGAGUCGAGUUGUUUGGGAAUGCAGCUCAAAAUGGGUGGUAAAUUCCAUCUAAAGCUAAAUAUUGGCGAGAGACCGAUAGCGAACAAGUACCGUGAGGGAAAGAUGAAAAGAACUUUGGAAAGAGAGUUAAACAGUACGUGAAAUUGCUGAAAGGGAAACGCUUGAAGUCAGUCGCGUUGGCCGGGGAUCAACCUUGCUUUUGCUGGGCGUACUUUCCGGUUGACGGGUCAGCAUCAAUUUUGACCGUUGGAUAAAGUUCAGGGGAAUGUGGCAUCUUCGGAUGUGUUAUAGCCUUUGUUCGCAUACAACGGUUGGGAUUGAGGAACUCAGCACGCCGCAAGGCCGGGUAUUUAUACUACGUUCGUGCUUAGGAUGCUGGCAUAAUGGCUUUAAUCGACCCGUCUUGAAACACGGACCAAGGAGUCUAACANGCCUGCGAGUGUUUGGGUGGAAAACCCGAGCGCGUAAUGAAAGUGAAAGUUGAGAUCCCUGUCGUGGGGAGCAUCGACGCCCGGACCAGACCUUUUGUGACGGAUCCGCGGUAGAGCAUGUAUGUUGGGACCC